Molecule: non-coding RNA, 626 nt
Organism: Camellia sinensis
Lineage: Eukaryota; Viridiplantae; Streptophyta; Magnoliopsida; Ericales; Theaceae
Source: RefSeq, a predicted model, not a curated record
CUUCUAUCUCUUUUUCUUUCUUUCAUAUCUCAGACUUCUCCUCACACCUCACAUCUCUCACAGACAUAUUCUCUCUCUUUCUCUCUAAUUUUGAUUUCAAAAUUUGAAACACCAUUCUCUCUCACACCGCUUCCUCUUCCCACCACACAUCUUCUUUCCACCAAACUUUCUCUCUCUAAGUGAUCUCCGGUGGUGAUUUCUACCAUUUUGCUCCAAUGGAAUAUAGCCCCGCUGAGAGAGGGUGAUUUCUACCAUCUACAUCAAUGUUUGCCUCCUCUCUCUCUACACAACUCCAAGGAAAUAAUUGAAGUAAUUCUGAUUAUGCUUUUAUGAGAUCAUCCAAAUAAUUGAAGUGACUUCGAUGGCGACAAUGGAGCAGACUAAGGUUGUGGGUACUUGUCUUGGCCUUGCUGGCUUUGUUUCGGUGUCUUGGACCUACUGGCUCUGUUCAAGGAUUUCCCAAACAGGUAUUUUAAUUACUUAGUUAUGUUGGAGAUGUUGAAACCAUGGGAAAAGCUGCUGCAAACUUUAAGUAAUUAGUUUUGUUGAUUAAUUAGUUAUUUUUGUUGCUAAAAUUGUGAUAUAUUUGAACUAUACCUUUUGGUACCUAUCAAUAGCUGAAGUUU